GACAGGUCGGUCUCGAGCUGGGGUGGGCGCCGGGUGACUGAGGGGGGCUGCUCCUAGUACGAGAGGACCGGAGUGGACGCAUCACUGGUGUUCGGGUUGUCAUGCCAAUGGCACUGCCCGGUAGCUAAAUGCGGAAGAGAUAAGUGCUGAAAGCAUCUAAGCACGAAACUUGCCCCGAGAUGAGUUCUCCCUGAGACUUAGAGUCUCCUGAAGGAACGUUGAAGACGACGACGUUGAUAGGCCGGGUGUGUAAGCGCAGCGAUGCGUUGAGCUAACCGGUACUAAUGAACCGUGAGGCUUAACCUUACAACGCCGAAG
This 318-nucleotide ribosomal RNA is filed under the name Escherichia coli. RNAcentral's name for it is "bacterial LSU rRNA". It matches the Rfam family "Bacterial large subunit ribosomal RNA", at positions 2625 to 2925 of the family's 2925-position model. The record is from RNAcentral. Lineage: Bacteria; Pseudomonadati; Pseudomonadota; Gammaproteobacteria; Enterobacterales; Enterobacteriaceae.